This 643-nucleotide ribosomal RNA is filed under the name uncultured Burkholderia sp. Its description in RNAcentral is "bacterial SSU rRNA". It matches the Rfam family "Bacterial small subunit ribosomal RNA", at positions 67 to 705 of the family's 1533-position model. The record is from RNAcentral. Lineage: Bacteria; Pseudomonadati; Pseudomonadota; Betaproteobacteria; Burkholderiales; Burkholderiaceae.
CGGCAGCACGGGAGCAAUCCUGGUGGCGAGUGGCGAACGGGUGAGUAAUACAUCGGAACGUGUCCUGUAGUGGGGGAUAGCCCGGCGAAAGCCGGAUUAGUACCGCAUACGCUCUACGGAGGAAAGGGGGGGAUCUUAGGACCUCUCGCUACAGGGGCGGCCGAUGGCAGAUUAGCUAGUUGGUGGGGUAAAGGCCUACCAAGGCGACGAUCUGUAGCUGGUCUGAGAGGACGACCAGCCACACUGGGACUGAGACACGGCCCAGACUCCUACGGGAGGCAGCAGUGGGGAAUUUUGGACAAUGGGCGCAAGCCUGAUCCAGCAAUGCCGCGUGUGUGAAGAAGGCCUUCGGGUUGUAAAGCACUUUUGUCCGGAAAGAAAACUUCCUGGUUAAUACCCGGGGAGGAUGACGGUACCGGAAGAAUAAGCACCGGCUAACUACGUGCCAGCAGCCGCGGUAAUACGUAGGGUGCAAGCGUUAAUCGGAAUUACUGGGCGUAAAGCGUGCGCAGGCGGUCCGCUAAGACAGAUGUGAAAUCCCCGGGCUUAACCUGGGAACUGCAUUUGUGACUGGCGGGCUAGAGUAUGGCAGAGGGGGGUAGAAUUCCACGUGUAGCAGUGAAAUGCGUAGAGAUGUGGAGGA